CCUACGGGAGACAGCAGUGGGGAAUAUUGGGCAAUGGACGCAAGUCUGACCCAGCAACGCCGCGUGAAGGAAGAAGGCUUUCGGGUUGUAAACUUCUUUUAAGGGGGAAGAGGAGAAGACGGUACCCCUUGAAUAAGCCACGGCUAACUACGUUCAAGCAGCCGCGGUAAUACGUAGGUGGCAAGCGUUGUCCGGAUGUACUGGGUGUAAAGGACGUCAAGCCGGGCCGACAAGUCAGAUGUGAAAUCCGCGGGCUUAACCCGCGAACUGCAUUUGAAACUAUAGGUCUUGAGUGCCGGAGAGGUAAGCGGAAUUCCUGGUGUAGCGGUGAAAUGCGUAGAUAUAAGGAAGAACACCAGUGGCGAAGGCGGAUUACUGGACGGUAACGGACGGUGAGGCGCGAAAGCGUGGGGAGCAAACAGGAUUAGAUACCCCUGUAGUC
RNAcentral lists this ribosomal RNA (442 nucleotides) under uncultured bacterium. RNAcentral's name for it is "partial 16S ribosomal RNA". It matches the Rfam family "Bacterial small subunit ribosomal RNA", at positions 338 to 795 of the family's 1533-position model. The record is from RNAcentral.